CUUCAGGCAGCCUGAAAACCCCAAAUAUUUUUUUUUCAUUUUUCUUUUUUUUUUUGGUCUUACUAACUCCAAAAGGUUAGAAAAGAGUUCCUACAAAGGUUUUGGACAGUGAUUUUAACCCUAACGCCAAAAACCUUAAAACUUACCAUAGCCCCAAAACCUAAUACCUAGGUAUUACCUUCAGGAAGCCCCAACACACCAAAUAUUUUUUUUUCAUGUUACAUUUUUUUUUGGUCUAACUUACUCCAAAAGGCCUGAAACUUGUUCCUUAAAAGGUUUUGGACAGUGAUUUCAACCCUAACGCCAAAAACUUUAAACCUUUCCCAACCCCGUAACCUAAUACCCGGGUAUUACCUUAAGGAAGCCUUAACACCCCCCAAAUUUCUUUUUUAAUUUUUAAUUUUUUUUUUUUUGGUCUAGCUAACUCCAAAAGGUUGGAAAAGAGUUCCUACAAAGGUUUUGGACAGUGAUUUUAACCCUAACGCCAAAAACCUUUAACCUUUACCUAGCCCUGUAACAUAAUAUAUACAUAAUAUUGCUCUACAAACACAUAGUCUAAAAGAUAGACAGCAUAGCAUACCAAUUGAGCUGAGUCAUUAAACUUCCUACUAACACAUAAUUUUUACACACAGAUUGAGCUCGGAGACUCGACUGGGAACAUGUGACAGGUUGACAUGCGCCGGCCAGUGCAAGCCCUUGAUCAGCCUAUCCCAAACCGCCAAGUCAACUGACGAAAGCGGGGGCUAUCACUGUAUCUCUUACUCUUACUCUUACCCACACCUAACCAGCCAGUUGCCUUCGGACAGACUUGUCACAAUAUCAUUCCGAGAAUAGUCUGAGCCCAUGCUCCUUCUGUGCACACAACCUCUCAGCCCCCCCCCCACACACACACACACACACACUUUUUUCCCCCCCUUUUUUCCCCCCCUUUAUAGAAUCUAAGAUCUUCCAGUAUCAAGGGUGAGAGUGAAUUCCAAAGAAUCCUCCACCUUGGAACCUAUACUAACACUACAAUCCUCAGAUAACUAAACAAAAAACAUCUAAACCCUAACAGCAAUGACGAAAAGAUAAAUACUUUUCAAGACAAAUUAACUCCUGACCCCACCCUGCCCCCUCCUUUUCUCCCUCUCUCCUGAUCUGUACCUCUCUCUCCUAUCAGAGGAUGAAAACCAGCAGGUGAGGAGAGUCUCAAUGGCGAGUCAUGGUGGCAAGAUCUAUUCUCUUUCUAUCACUCGAAUCCCUGUAUGAGUAGAAUGGUGCCAGACGGACCACCUGCUCCCACCACAAUCCUCCGUGACUUUUUGACUCUAUCCACUUUUAGAACUUAAAAUAGUAAUCAAUAAUCAACUGACCAACUCAGCUCAAACCAAACCUAAAACUCUGCCUAGAGAACUCUCACUUCCACGUUUACAUAUCUCUUUGUAUCUCGUGAGGACCGUGAGGAGAGCAGAGCCUAGACCUAGUCGGGUCGGGGGACUAUGUCCCUUGCUCACUCUCCUCACAUGGAUGGUGAGAGCUGGGGAGGAUGUUUCAUCCGCCACCAAAUCCCCCUCACCAAUCUUUAUUUUCCACCAUCUCCACCUCUCCCUUAAACCCCCCCUCUCCCUCUUCCCUUUCUCUCUCUCUCUCUCUCUCUCUCUCUCACACACACACACACACACACACUCCCCCCCUCUCUCUCUCCCUCUUUCCCUCUUCCCCCUCUCUCUCACACUCUCUCUCUCUCUCCCUCAUCUCUCCCUCAUCUCUCUCCCUCAUCUCUCCCCCUCUCUCCAACACACCCCCUCUUUCUUAUUCCCUCCCCUGCCCCUUUGUUUUCACCUUCACAGAGGACAAAUAGGUGAUCUUAAGCCUAGGCCUACCCCGGCCGGGGGGUAACCCCUGUUGGGUCACCUAUAUGGAGGAUUAAGAGAGACCUGUAGGGGAACCGCCGUGCCCCCUAAAUCCUCCCCCUCAAACAUCUUUUUUAACACUCUAAAAUUAGCCAGCUAACCCCACUACAAACAACUUCAUCAAAAAUUUAAAUAAUAAAUACUUAUCAAUAACUGACCAUCAGUGACACCAGACUAAGCUAGCAAAAAAGAACACACACACACAAGUACAGAUUUUCCCUUAGGACAUUGAUCAAAGUUACAUUUCUGUCUGUCUUUUAGGGAACUGUUCUCUGUUUUUAAGCUCACUUUUGAUUUUUGCUAUUUGCUCUUGACACUUCUUUUUUUCCUUUUUUCUUCCCCUUCCCUUUUUGCAAUCCACUUUUGUUCUUCUUUUAUCUUUUUAUUUUUUCAUUGUUUUAUAUUAUAUUAUUUUAUUUUAUUUUAUUUUAAAGUUCCUAUGCUCUUGUUUUUCUUCCCCCCUCCCCUCUUUUUUCUUAGGAAGGACUGACUCCUGAGGUUCUCAUGUCAGGAAAAAUGUACCUCCCUCACUCACGGUUUUACCCACAAUCCUUUGCUGCAACGGGGAGAUUGAUUCCCAAGGCUCUCAUGCCAGAAAGGAAGUACCUCACUCACUCACGGUUUUACCCACAAUCCUUUGCUGUAACAGAAAGAUUGAUUCCUUAGGCUCUCAUCCCUCAGAACUAAAAUACCCACAAUCCCUUGCGAUUGCAUACAAAUUUAAUGUAGCAAAACUCAAUUUAAAACAAAUAAACCACUUUAAAAUUAACUUAAAACAACUUGAAAGUUUAAAAUACAACCAAGAGACAUCCAUUCUGGAGAACAAACAUCGAGAAGAGAACACAACCAUGUCUGAGAGGAACAACACAAAGCAUGACUCGAGCCCCAAUCUGGGGAUAUCUGCUCCAGUUAAAACCACUUUUAAGUGCUGUGCACUAAAGAGCAAUUCCUGUUCCUGUAAUUGUGACAAAGCCGUGACCACUGGACCAAGAAGACGCACCGCCGCCUCGAGGAAGACGCCGUACCUCCUUCACUUCUAGCCGCCCACCACCGAGCUUUGACCCGCCGACGGCACCGAGUCCCAGCAAACCUUCCCGUGGACCGCCUAUCUUCUUUCCCCCGCCGAGGACCCCGGACUUCAGACACACUGCCGCCGCGGCUGGACAGCUUGAACCUUUUCCCCCUCUAACAGAUUUUAGACUACUGGAAAAGAAACGCCUCACAUCAACAACAACAUAGGACCACUAGGGUAAGUCUACAAAAAACCUCUCAAACACCUCAAAAUUACUCUAAAUAGUUACAGAAUAGCAAUUACCAAACUAGCAUACAACUAAAACUUCACAGCACCAAAACUAAAUAAGACUAAAAUAGCUCCAAUUGGCUACAGGGCACAACACGGAAGUUGAUCGACUCCGUGGGGCCUUCCUUGAAUGAGGAUAUCUAGUGUUAAAAUGGCCGAAACAUCCGAUGAUUUCGGGGUUCACUACUGAGGACUUGUCCUGAAAUUUAAUGUCCAAUACCAGCGCUGGGUCAAUGUAAUGGUUUAUUUGAAGAAUUUUUCAAACAAAUAGGUCUUCUAUUUUGAGUGUUGGUUUAUCCUGGUGCAUGAAUAAAGGUCCAUAAAACCCGCACCUUUUAUGGUUUACUUUAAUUUCUACUCUAACAUAGCAUUUCAGCAUUUGUCCAUUUACCAAACUCGUAUUUCCCACCUCUUGAUCCCAGGGUCCAGUUUUUUACAGUUUCCUUUUUUCACCUAUUCCUUUUUGCCACUCUCGUAUUUCCCACUUUCUAAUUUGGUAAACAUUGUACAUUCCAUAUUUUAUCCCAGUUUUUAUUUUUUAUUUUUUAUUUUUAGUUCUAUUUUUAUUUUCCUAUUAAUUUCCCCCUACCUGUAUAUUGUACCUGUUUUGAACAAAUAAAAAAUGUUUUGGAACAACUAUACACUCAAUUUUUAUUCCACCUUUUUUUCUCAUACUAAUUUACUUUAUAAUUCAAUUUUGUGUAUUUAUAUCACCAUUUUUUUAUUAUUUAAAUUUGCGAUUUAAAUAUAAUACAUUUGGUUCCAGUGCAAUCAAAAUUACAGUGUCCUUUGUUAUACAGAAGUCAACACAAUUUUCUCUCAGUUUUACUGUAAUAUCAAUUCAAUGUUGGGUAUAACUUUAACAGUUCCUGUUUGUACUUUUUAACGAAAUAAACAGUGUAGAAAGUGAUGACACAAUUUUAUACAACAUUCUAAUUUACACCCGUAAGCAACAAUUUGGGAGCUAACCUUACUUAUUAAACUCAAAAUUGUUUAACUCAUGGAUUACAACUUUAGAAUAGUCCAAUACCUAAAUAAACUACAAUUCCUACUCACUUUCUAACUCUGAAAUAAUAAUUUACAGUGAACCCUAGGUCCUAUAUAAUCUAUAUAAAAAAAUCUCCACUUAACUCCAAACUUAUCCAUCUAAAAUAAUGCAACCUUUUGAAAAGUCGAUACUCUGGACCAAUAAUUCUAUUUAUUGAUCCAAAAUUAAUAAUAUAACAAAAUUAAAUUAUGCAAUUAUUAAUGAAAUUGACACUUUUGACUCUGAAAUAAUAAUUUCCAAAUAAUAAUUUAUAACUAACCUUUAAGAUUUAUUUUAGAUCACAGCAUUAGGGCGUUCAGCAGAGUCUAUGGCCUAGACAGGCCUGAGUAGAAGGGGUUCCAGACAGAACCAUCCACUUUUGACUCUGAAUAAUACUUUGUAAAUAAUAAUUCAUAAAUAUUUCCAAUUUAAUAUAAAAUAAUUUUAGGUCACAGCGUUAAGGACUUUAGCAGAGUCUAUGGCCUAGACAGGCCUGAGUGGAAGGGGUUCCAGACAGAACCGUCCACUUUUGACUCUGAAUAAUAAUUUAUAAAUAAUAAUUCAUAAAUAUUUCUGAUUUAAUCUAAAAUAAUUUUAGGUCACAGUGUUAGGGAGUCUAGCAGAGUCUUUGGCCUGUAUCUCUUACCCACACCCCCAAAAAAAUUUAUUUCCUUUUUAUUUUCUUUUUUUUGUCUAACUAACUCAAAAAGGUUGGAAAAGAGAUCCUACAAAGGUUUUGGACAGUGAUUUUAACCCUAACGCCAAAAACCUUUAAACUUUACCUAGCCCUGUAACCUUAUAUCCGGGUAUUACCUAAAGGAAGCCCUACAUCCCCCAAAGAAUCGUUUUUAUUUUUUGUUUUUUUUGGUCUAACUAACUCCAAAAGGUCUGAAACAUGUUCCUAAAAAGGUUUUGGACAGUGAUUUUAACCCUAACGCCAAAAACCUUUAACCUUUACCUAUCCCCAUAACCUAAUACCUGGGUAUUAACAAAAGGAAGCCCUACAACCCCAAAUUUUUUUUAAUCAUUUUACAUUUUUUUUAGUCUAACUAACUCAAAAAGGUCUUCAAAAUGUUCCGAAAAAAUAUUGGACAGUGAUUUUAACGCUCACGCCAAAAACCUUAAACCUUACGCUAGCCCCAUAACCUAAUACCUGGGUAUUACCUUCAGGAAGCCCGAACACCCGAAAUAUUUUUUUUUCAUUUUACUUUUUUUUUGUCUAACAAACUCCAAAAGGUUGGAAAAGAGUUCCUACAAAGGUUUUGGACAGUGAUUUUAACCCUAACGCCAAAAACCUUAACCCUUCCCAUAGCCCCAUAACCUAAUACCCGAGUAUUACCUUCAGGAAGCCCUAACACCCCGUAUAUUUUUUUUUUCAUUUUACAUUUUUUUUUGGUGUAAACAACUCCAAAAGGUUGGAAAAGAGUUCCUAAAAAGGUUUUGGACAGUGAUUUAAACCCUAACGCCAAAAACCUUUGACCUUUACCUUGCCCUGUAACCUAAUACCCGGGUAUCACCUUCAGGAUGCCCUACCGCACCAAAUUUUUAUUUUCAUUUUUUUUUGGUCUAAGUAACUCCAAAAGGUCUGAAACAUGUUCCUUAAAAAUAUUAUACAGUGAUAUUAACCCUAAUGCUAAAACCUUUAACGUUACCCUAGCCCCAUAACCUAAUACUAUUAACUUAAGGCAUUACCUUAAGGAAGCCUAAACACCCCAAAAAAUGUUUAAUCAUUUUUCUUUUUUUUUUUUUUUUUGUCUAACUGACUCCAAAAGGUUGGAAAAGAGUUCCUACAAAGGUUUUGGACAGUAAUUUUAACCCUAAUGCCAAAAACCUUAAACCAUACCCUAGCCCCCUAACCUAACACCCGGGUUUUACCUUCAGGAAGCCCGAAAACCACAAAUAUAUUUUUUUCAUUUUUCUUUUAUUUUUUGGUCUAACUAACUCCAAAAGGUCUGACACUUGUUCCUAUAAAGGUUUUGGACAGUGAUUUUAACCCAGACGCCAAAAACCUUUAACCUGUACCUAGCCCUGCAACCUAAUUCCCGGGUAUUACCUUAAGGAAACCUUAACACCCCAAACAUUUUUUUUUCAUUUUUUUUU
RNAcentral lists this long non-coding RNA (6319 nucleotides) under Xyrichtys novacula (pearly razorfish). The record is from RNAcentral. Lineage: Eukaryota; Metazoa; Chordata; Actinopteri; Labriformes; Labridae.